AAAAUAAAUAAUAAAAUACUUUAGUAAAAAAUUUGUGUUGUAUCACAUUACAUAAUUGUAAAAGCUGUUGUUUUUUUUAAAUAUAGGCCUAGUUGCACUAUAAUCAACAUAGUAGCAUAUAGCCAAUAAAUAUAUCGAAGUUUGUAUUUUGUAGAAGCCAAACAAAACUGUUCUUUUUUGUUUACAAUACUUAUUAUUUAAUUAAUUAAACAUAAAGUACAAUUAAUCAGCAUAAGUUUAAACUUCUGCAUCUUGAUAACUUUCGGACCAUUAUAUUAUUCAUUAUUUUUAAUACCCCCCCCCCCCC
Molecule: non-coding RNA, 307 nt
Organism: Biomphalaria pfeifferi
Lineage: Eukaryota; Metazoa; Mollusca; Gastropoda; Planorbidae
Source: the annotation of a GenBank genome assembly